GAUGAAGAACGUAGCGAAAUGCGAUACGUAAUGUGAAUUGCAGAUUUCAGUGAAUCAUCGAAUCUUUGAACGCACAUUGCGCCCGCCAGUAUUCUGGCGGGCAUGCCUGUUCGAGCGUCAUUUCAACCAUCAAGCGCCUCGCUUGUGUUGGGGCCCUGCGGCUGCCGCAGGCCCCUAAAUCCAGUGGCGGGCUCGUCGUCGUACCGAGUGCAGUAAACAUCCUCGCUCAGGGAACCCGACGGGUGCCGGCCGUGAAACCCCCCCUCCUCAAGGUUGACCUCGGAUCAGGUAGGAAUACCCGCUGAACUUAAGCAUAUCAAUAAGCGGAGGA
RNAcentral lists this unclassified non-coding RNA (331 nucleotides) under soil metagenome. Its description in RNAcentral is "partial contains 5.8S ribosomal RNA, internal transcribed spacer 2, and large subunit ribosomal RNA". The stretch from base 1 to 120 matches the Rfam family "5.8S ribosomal RNA", at positions 35 to 154 of the family's 154-position model. The record is from RNAcentral.